UGUACUGAACACCAGUCUACCUAAUCUUACUCUGCGAUGAUUUCGAUGAAGAUUGUCCCCAUUAGCUUUCUCGCUGUCGCUAUUAUGCUCACCUGCGAGUUCGAUGUCUCCAGUGCGUCUCCUCACAAGUGGAGCUCUCCGGCGGUUUGUAUUAGGACGAAGUCCUGCACUCCUAAAAGUGUCUUAGAGGACUGCGGACCGGGCUGUCAGUGUACUUACUACAGACCCCCAGGCCCACCGGAGACUCAGAAAGGACCAGCGUUAAUGACGUGCUCAGGAGCUUGAUAAUAUUUUCCGCUGCGCAGUAGUA
This 310-nucleotide long non-coding RNA is filed under the name Dermacentor andersoni. RNAcentral describes it as "uncharacterized LOC126525183". The record is from RNAcentral. Lineage: Eukaryota; Metazoa; Arthropoda; Arachnida; Ixodida; Ixodidae.